AAAGGAAUAGACGGGGACCCGCACAACUGGUGGAGCGUGUGGUUUAAUUUGAGACGAAGCAAAAAACCUUACCAAGGUUUGACAUGUUACCGUUUUAUACCUAUGGAAACACUGGUAGAUCCGCAAGGAUGGUAACACAGGUGCUGCAUGGCUGUCGUCAGCUCGUGUCGUGAGAUGUUCCCUUAAGUGGGGAAACGAGCGCAACCCCCGUGAAAUGUUACAUAUUCAUUUCAGACGGUCCCGAUCAUAUCGGGAAGGAAGGAGGGGAAGACGUCAAGUCAGCAUGGUCCUUACACCUUGGGAUACACACACCCUACAAUGGCGAAGAACAAUGGGCUGCAAGCUAGUAAUAGCAAGCUAAUCUCAGAAAUUUCGCCUCAGUUCAGAUUGGGGGCUGCAACUCGCCCCCAUGAAGUCGGAAUCAGUAGUAAUCGCGGAUCAGAAGGCCGCGGUGAAUACGUUCUCGGGUCUUGUACACACCGCCCGU
RNAcentral lists this ribosomal RNA (487 nucleotides) under uncultured bacterium. RNAcentral describes it as "bacterial SSU rRNA". It matches the Rfam family "Bacterial small subunit ribosomal RNA", at positions 903 to 1397 of the family's 1533-position model. The record is from RNAcentral.